GAGGGAGCUGUCGAAGGUGGGACUGGCGAUUGGGACGAAGUCGUAACAAGGUAGCCGUACCGGAAGGUGCGGCUGGAUCACCUCCUUUCUAAGGAG
Molecule: ribosomal RNA, 96 nt
Filed under: Streptomyces sp. MMG1522
Lineage: Bacteria; Bacillati; Actinomycetota; Actinomycetes; Kitasatosporales; Streptomycetaceae
Also listed under: 3 other names
Description: partial 16S ribosomal RNA
Rfam family: Bacterial small subunit ribosomal RNA
Source: RNAcentral